CAGAACGAACGCUGGCGGCGCGUUUAAGCAUGCAAGUCGAGCGGUAGUAGCAAUACGAGAGCGGCGGACGGGUGAGUAACACGUGGGUAAUCUGCCCUUCGGUCGGGAAUAGCCUGUGGAAACACAGGAUAAUACCGGAUGCGAUGGUCUUCACACAAGUGGAGGUCAGGAAAGGAGCCAAGGCUCCGCCGGAGGAUGAGCCCGCGUCCCAUUAGCUAGAUGGUGAGGUAAAGGCCCACCAUGGCGAUGAUGGGUAGCCGGCCUGAGAGGGUGAACGGCCACAUUGGAACUGAGACACGGUCCAGACUCCUACGGGAGGCAGCAGCUAAGAAUCUUCCACAAUGGACGAAAGUCUGAUGGAGCGACGCCGCGUGGGCGAUGAAGGCCGUGAGGUUGUAAAGCCCUUUUCGUGAGGGGGAAUAAUGCGGGCAGGGAAUGGCCUGCAGAUGACGUGAAUCAAGGAAUAAGCCCCGGCUAACUACGUGCCAGCCGCCGC
RNAcentral lists this ribosomal RNA (496 nucleotides) under uncultured bacterium. RNAcentral describes it as "bacterial SSU rRNA". It matches the Rfam family "Bacterial small subunit ribosomal RNA", at positions 25 to 518 of the family's 1533-position model. The record is from RNAcentral.